Molecule: ribosomal RNA, 396 nt
Filed under: Triticum aestivum (bread wheat)
Lineage: Eukaryota; Viridiplantae; Streptophyta; Magnoliopsida; Poales; Poaceae
Description: partial small subunit ribosomal RNA
Source: RNAcentral
AUGGCUUACUAUUCAGAUCAUCAGGCUUAUGCGAGCAACACUACAAACAGCACAGAAAGUGUUCAAGAACUGAUAGGUAAGAUUUCCCUUCGAUUAGAUGAUUUAGCUCAGCAGCGAGAGGUAGUUUUUGAGGAUAGGCCUAGCUCUUAUGAUCCUUAUUCUAGAGGUCAUCCUUAUGUUGCUCCUACAUGCCAUAUUUGUGGAUUUCAGGGCCAUUCACCCGCUGAAUGUCGGCGUGGUUACUCUCACCCUCCCGAUUGUUAUGGCAUGAGCUUCGCCCCACAGCCUAGCUCAUACCAAAACAAUUACACACAUGGGUGGCCUGAAAACCAGAAUAUGUCAUAUAGGAGCAACAACCCUGAGAUCUCACAGUUUGGUUCUAGUAAUCAUAUGUAG